This 25-nucleotide non-coding RNA is filed under the name Cricetulus griseus (Chinese hamster). The record is from RNAcentral. Lineage: Eukaryota; Metazoa; Chordata; Mammalia; Rodentia; Cricetidae.
UCAUGUUUGUAUUUCUCUCACUCAG